RNAcentral lists this transfer RNA (85 nucleotides) under Coriobacteriia bacterium. Its description in RNAcentral is "tRNA-Leu". It matches the Rfam family "tRNA". From Rfam's summary of the family: Transfer RNA (tRNA) molecules are approximately 80 nucleotides in length. Their secondary structure includes four short double-helical elements and three loops (D, anti-codon, and T loops). The record is from RNAcentral. Lineage: Bacteria; Bacillati; Actinomycetota; Coriobacteriia.
GCGGGUGUGGCGGAACUGGCAGACGCGCUGGAUUUAGGUUCCAGUGGGGCAACUCGUGAAGGUUCGAUUCCUUUCACCCGCACCA